This 273-nucleotide ribosomal RNA is filed under the name uncultured prokaryote. Its description in RNAcentral is "partial 16S ribosomal RNA". It matches the Rfam family "Bacterial small subunit ribosomal RNA", at positions 524 to 796 of the family's 1533-position model. The record is from RNAcentral.
UACGGAGGAUCCAAGCGUUGUCCGGAUUUAUUGGGUUUAAAGGGUGCGUAGGCGGAUCUUUAAGUCAGUGGUGAAAGCCUGCAGCUUAACUGUAGAAUUGCCAUUGAAACUGAAGAUCUUGAAUGUGGUUAAAGUAGGCGGAAUGUAUCAUGUAGCGGUGAAAUGCUUAGAUAUGAUACAGAACACCGAUAGCGAAGGCAGCUUGCUGAACCAUUAUUGACGCUGAGGCACGAAAGCGUGGGGAGCGAACAGGAUUAGAAACCCUAGUAGUCC